GACGUAGGGCGCGAGCGUUGUCCGGAUUUAUUGGGCGUAAAGCGCGCGCAGGCGGUUCGUUAAGUCCGAGGUGAAAUCUCCUGGCUCAACUGGGAGGGGUCUUCGGAUACUGGCGGACUUGAGGAGAGCAGAGGUGAGUGGAAUUCUCGGUGUAGUGGUGAAAUGCGUAGAUAUCGAGAGGAACACCAGCGGCGAAGGCGGCUCACUGGGCUCCACCUGACGCUGAGGCGCGAAAGCGUGGGGAGCGAACCGG
This 253-nucleotide ribosomal RNA is filed under the name uncultured bacterium. RNAcentral describes it as "partial 16S ribosomal RNA". It matches the Rfam family "Bacterial small subunit ribosomal RNA", at positions 524 to 776 of the family's 1533-position model. The record is from RNAcentral.